This 278-nucleotide unclassified non-coding RNA is filed under the name uncultured fungus. RNAcentral's name for it is "partial contains 5.8S ribosomal RNA, internal transcribed spacer 2, and large subunit ribosomal RNA". The stretch from base 1 to 52 matches the Rfam family "5.8S ribosomal RNA", at positions 103 to 154 of the family's 154-position model. The record is from RNAcentral. Lineage: Eukaryota; Fungi.
AACGCACAUUGCGCCCGCCAGUAUUCUGGCGGGCAUGCCUGUUCGAGCGUCAUUUCAACCCUCGAGCCCCUCCGGGGGAUCGGUGUUGGGGACCGGCACCCCCGCUGUUCCGCAGCGGUCGCCGCCCCCGAAAUGCAGUGGCGGCCUCGCCGCAGCCUCCUAUGCGCAGUAGCUUGCAAAACUCGCAUCCUGGAGCGCGGUGCGGCCACAGCCGUUAAACCCCCCAAUUACUUCAAAUGGUUGACCUCGGAUCAGGUAGGAAUACCCGCUGAACUUAA